RNAcentral lists this ribosomal RNA (1392 nucleotides) under uncultured organism. Its description in RNAcentral is "bacterial SSU rRNA". It matches the Rfam family "Bacterial small subunit ribosomal RNA". The record is from RNAcentral.
GGCUCAGGAUGAACGCUGGCGGCGUGCCUAAUACAUGCAAGUCGAACGAGAAGCCUUGGAUUAUCUAAGGUGGAGAGUGGCGCACGGGUGAGUAACACAUGGCUGACCUGCCCCUCAGAGGGGGACAACCGGUGGAAACGCCGGCUAAUACCCCAUGCUUGCGUCCGGGUUAGACGCCGGAUGCAGAGAAGGCCGAGGCGCUGAGGGAGGGGGCUGUGGACCAUCAGCUAGUUGGUAUGGUAACGGACUACCAAGGCGACGACGGAUAGGGGGCCUGACACGGUGACCCCCCAUACGGGCACUGAGACACGGGCCCGACUCCUACGGGAGGCAGCAGUAAGGGAUAUUGCGACAAUGGGCGAAAGCCUGACGCAGCAACGCCGCGUGGAGGAUGACGGCCUUCGGGUUGUACACUCCUUUUCUGUGGGAAGAGGAAGGACGGUACCACAGGAAGAAGUCUCGGCUAACUACGUGCCAGCAGCCGCGGUACAACGUAGGAGGCGAGCGUUAUCCGGAUUUACUGGGUGUAAAGCGCGUGCAGGCGGUCUGGUAAGUCCAUCGUGAAAGCUCCCGGCUCAACCGGGAGACGACGUGCGAAACUGCGAUGCUAGAGACCGGUAGAGGCGUACGGAAUUCCGGGUGUAGUGGUGAACUGCGUAGAUAUCCGGAGGAACACCAGUGGCGAAGGCGGUACGCUGGGCCUGGUCUGACGCUAAGACGCGAAAGCAUGGGGAGCGAACGGGAUUAGAAACCCCGGUAGUCCAUGCCGUAAACGAUGCUAACUAGGUGUUGCGGGUAAAAGACCGGCAGUGCCGGAGUCAACGCGAUAAGUUAGCCACCUGGGGACGACGGUCGCAAGGCUAAAACUCAAAGGAAUCGACGGGGGCCCGCACAAGCAGCGGAGCGUGUGGUUUAAUUCGAGGCUACACGAAGAACCUUACCUGGGCUCGACAUGACGGUGGUAGGGAACCGAAAGGGGACCGACCUUCGGGACCCGUCACAGGUGCUGCAUGGCUGUCGUCAGCUCGUCUCGUGAGAUGUUCGGUUAAGUCCGGUAACGAGCGCAACCCUCAUCGCUAGUUACAAGUGUCUAGCGAGACUGCCCGUUCAACGCGGGAGGAAGGCGGGGAUGACGUCAAGUCAGCAUGGCCUUUAUGUCCAGGGCUACACACACGCUACAAUGGCCGGUACAAUGGGUCGCCAACCCGCGAGGGGGACCCAAUCCACCAAAGCCGGUCACAGUUCGAAUUGCAGGCUGCAACCCGCAUGCAUGAAGUCGGAGUUGCUAGUAACCGCAGGUCAGCUAUACCGCGGUGAUACGUUCCCGCGCCUUGACACACCGCCCGUCACGUCAUGGGAGCUGGUCAUGCCUGAAGUCGGUGAGCCAACCGC